ACUUAAAUAGUUUAAAUUAAAAUAUAAGCUUGUGGCGCUCAAGAUGUAUAAAUUAUACUUUAAGUA
This 66-nucleotide transfer RNA is filed under the name Hemigrapsus takanoi. RNAcentral describes it as "tRNA-His". It matches the Rfam family "tRNA". From Rfam's summary of the family: Transfer RNA (tRNA) molecules are approximately 80 nucleotides in length. Their secondary structure includes four short double-helical elements and three loops (D, anti-codon, and T loops). The record is from RNAcentral. Lineage: Eukaryota; Metazoa; Arthropoda; Malacostraca; Decapoda; Varunidae.